GGAGAAUGGGUCAUUGUGGAUAAACCAUCCCCCACAUUUGGUGUCAGAAGUGUUGGGAAGGAAGAAGCAGUGAGCGUUUUGUCUUCCAAGGAGCUGCAGUGGGAGAGGUACUUCGUGGAAAGAACAGAGAAGAUUAAAGGGGGUUUUCAGAUGUGUAGUCAGUGAUGUGGCUCCUCCACUUCCCCCAAAAUCUAAAGAAUCACCCAUCAAUUCGUUUAGAGUUGGAUUUGGCUGGGAAGGUUGUACAGAGGUGCUGACUCGUGUUCAAGUGAAAUCUCAGCUGAUCCCCACCAUGACCUCCACGGGGAUGGGCAGGAGGUAUUAUCUCCUUACUUGAGAGCAGACGAAAGAUUGAACCGAAGGGACUUGUCCAAGGUCACCCAGCAGGGUUGCUGGAACUCAAGUGCCACCAGCUGGCCCCGUGAGAAUAAAGACCACACCCCAGGAUGGCAGAUGAGUGAGUUGUCAGAAGCGUGGAUCUCCAAAACCUGUGUGGAACAGGGCUGCCUUCCCAGCUUUGAAUUGCAGACCUCUGGACCUACAGCCGGUGGAGAAAUAAACGUCUAUUGUGCAG
Molecule: long non-coding RNA, 574 nt
Filed under: Mustela putorius furo (domestic ferret)
Lineage: Eukaryota; Metazoa; Chordata; Mammalia; Carnivora; Mustelidae
Description: lncRNA (ENSMPUG00000027521.1)
Source: RNAcentral